RNAcentral lists this ribosomal RNA (386 nucleotides) under uncultured prokaryote. RNAcentral's name for it is "bacterial SSU rRNA". It matches the Rfam family "Archaeal small subunit ribosomal RNA", at positions 339 to 725 of the family's 1478-position model. The record is from RNAcentral.
GCGCGAAAACUUUACAAUGCCGGCAACGGCGAUAAGGGGACCUCGAGUGCCAGGUUACAAAUCUGGCUGUCGUGAUGCCUAAAAAGCAUUUCAUAGCAAGGGCCGGGCAAGACCGGUGCCAGCCGCCGCGGUAACACCGGCGGCUCGAGUGGUAACCGUUAUUAUUGGGUCUAAAGGGUCUGUAGCCGGCCGGAUAAGUCUCUUGAGAAAUCUGGCAGCUUAACUGUCAGGCUUUCAGGAGAUACUGUCUGGCUCGAGGCCGGGAGAGGUGAGAGGUACUUCAGGGGUAGGGGUGAAAUCUUGUAAUCCUUGAAGGACCACCAGUGGCGAAGGUGUCUCACCAGAACGGACCUGACGGCAAGGGACGAAAGCUAGGGGAGCGAACA